Long non-coding RNA from Paramisgurnus dabryanus, 1306 nucleotides. RefSeq lists it as uncharacterized. NCBI's taxonomy places the organism in Eukaryota, Metazoa, Chordata, Actinopteri, Cypriniformes, Cobitidae. The record is from RefSeq and is a predicted model, not a curated record.
AAAGAGCACCUAUUAUGGGAUACACGUUUUUAAACAUCCUUUUGUGUGUAAGUGUGCAUUAGUACAUGCUAACGAUAUUCAAAAAGUACAUACCUCAAAGAAAACGAUGACGCGAGUUAUCGUCUCUAACGUUCGAGGACUACAAAAAACACUCGGAUUGUAGGCAACAGUUUACUUCCUGGGAUUAGUGACGUAGAUAAGACCAACAUUAUCAUAGUUCGGCCCUCUCUGCUUUGCUUGGGUACGCCCUCAAAGACGGGGGUGGGGAGCGCCGAGUCAGAAGAGAGCUAAAAUGGCGGAGGUUGGGAGUCCCUGCUUUGACCCUGUUUGCAAACUCUUGUUUCAUCGUUUAAGCGAUUAAAUCUCUCGAGUAGACGCUGUCUCUUUAGAUGCAAGGGCAAAAUAUCACUUUAUGGACUUACACAGAGGACAUCAUGUUUAAUACGGUUCCGGAAAAAUCCAGUCAGAAGUUGUUCACGGAGUUUUCACAAUAACUGCUUCUCAUGAACCGAAGCUGGAUUUGCGCGACGUCUCCUCUUAAAAAAUUGGAUUACUGUGCACUUCUGGAUCACAGGCUAUUCGCAGCUGUACACAUCCUUCUACACUGUAUGCAAACAUGCAACAUCAUUACACACAGUACAAGGAGUCAGACUGGCAUAUGAGGAGCAAAGGAACCCAGGUAAUAGCAUCGUUUCACAAUGUUUCAAUCACCAUCAUCAGUGGAUGCCUUUGCUGUCCGUAGCCUGAGAUUUCAGAUUUGCAGCAAAAAAAAUUAGAUUUUCUCAUUUAUUGGAAUGCUGUGCAGGUAUUUGUACCUUGCAGCCAUCCAUUACAAUGUCACCAAGCCGUAACAAAAGCAGGAGAGGGAAAGUACAAGGCUAUGUUCCCAAAACACACAAAUGACAUACCUUAUGUGGAUGAUGUGAUCAGGCUUGUGUUUGAUGAGGUAUUUGAAGAUAAGCUGAAGGAAACCCCGAUUCCAAUGGACCUGGCAUCACAGUUUGAGAGACCUUCAAAGGAGGACGUGAUUGCAUGCCAUCUUCAGUGGGGGGGUCGUCGAAAGCCAAAAUUGUGACCGAUCUGAUCAGGAAGCUCCAAGCGUAUCUGGAGAACAACACACGACAGGAUGAUAACCUUAUAGUGUCGUCUUAGAUAGCAUCAGCUGACAAGGCUUUGAUAUGCCAUUUAUCUGAAUAGAUAGCUGUAAGAAAUGAAUUGAACAAUUUUUGAAACAAGAGCACAAUAUGGUUACUAAAGUAUGUUUAUUUGUAUAUUGUUUAACAUUUAAAUAUAUAUUUGUAAUAAA